This 1317-nucleotide unclassified non-coding RNA is filed under the name uncultured fungus. RNAcentral's name for it is "sequence contains 18S rRNA gene, ITS1, 5.8S rRNA gene, ITS2, 28S rRNA gene". The stretch from base 343 to 1317 matches the Rfam family "Eukaryotic large subunit ribosomal RNA", at positions 1 to 961 of the family's 3401-position model. The record is from RNAcentral. Lineage: Eukaryota; Fungi.
GGAAGGAUCAUUCACACUCUCGAUUUAUCGAAUGUUAUAGAUUCAACGAACUGAACCCGUUACUCGGCCUUUCGGCCAGGCUUUCUCACUCCAUUCGUGGUUUGGGUUUGUCGGGCUGAAGGGUUUCGGGGCCGCACUAUUGCGGGCUAUUUUUUGUAUCGGUUAAAAUGUUUAAAAUUGUACUUUCAGCAAUGGACGUCUUGGUUCCCAAUUCGAUGAAGGACGCAGCAAAUUGCGAUAAGCAGUGUGAAUUGCAGAAAUCUGUGAACCAUCAGACCUCUGAACGCAUACGGCACUAGUAGGGACUUGUUCUCGCAGUGUGGUUGGCUCAGUGUCUUUCUUUGAUCCCAGUAUAAGAGUGAACUGGCGUCGAGUGAUCCGCGAACAUUUAUUUGUUCAAGGGCUACUGUGUCGUCGUAUAAAAAGAAGGUACGCUGUCGCUGUUUUUCUCUUUAAUGGGGUAAAGUGCUUGCACUCUGGGGAAUUGUAGUCUGAAGAAGUGUCUCCAGUGGAAGUCGCAGAGCAAAAGUCUCUUGAAAGAGAACGCCAAAGAGGGUGAGAGUCCCGUAGCUGCUCUGCAGUACGUCCACAUACGGAACAUUUUCAUAGAGUCGUGUUUCUUGGGAGUGAAACGCUAAAUUGGUGGUAAACUUCAUCUAAGGCUAAAUAGUUUAUGGGAAACCGAUAGCAAAUAAGUACCUUGAGGGAAAGAUGAAAAGGACUUUGGAAAGAGAGUUAAAAUUCCCGGAAAUUGCUGAAAAGGAAGCGGUUGAAAUGCAUAUGCAAACCUGGGGUAUAUCUGUUUGAGCGGCUCAGGUCUGUUUGGUCAACUUUAUUGGGGCUUUAUAGAUUUGUGUCACUUGGCGGAGAAUCUUCUAGGAUGGAUCAGCUGCAGUUGGCGCUCUCGCGUGGAUGUUCAACACUCGGUCUCUCGAGACCGUAGCUGUUGCCCUUUCCCAACGGAUGGUGUCGACUGAGGUGAGCUCAUGCUGGUUUACUGGCAUGCUUGGUAGCUGAUUUAUGAGUUUUCACCGGCCCGUCUUGAAACACGGAUCAAGGAGUCCAACACAUGUGCGUGUCCGUGGGUACGCAAUCCUAUGGGCGAAAUUAAAGUGAGUGUUCCCGUUCUGGAACAACCGACCACAAUCGUCGAGCGAGGUUUGAGUAUGAGCAUAUAUGUUGGGACCCGAAAGAUGGUACCUGAAUAGGGUGAAGCCAGGGGAAACCCUGGUGGAGGCUCGUAGCGAUACUGACGUGCAAAUCGUUCGUCAAAUUUGGGUAUAGGGGCGAAAGACUAAUCUAGUAGCUGGUUCCCUC